UGCUUGGUCUUUGAGCCGAACAGGUGGCCUCUAGUCUGGUGGCUUCGGGGAUGUUGUCCGUAAAGGUGGAUGAGUGGUGUUUGGUUUGUUACGUGUGGAUGGCUGCGGCGUUUGCUUUGAACUUCCAUGCUUCAGACCUCUUCAGUUGUGCGACAAGGCUUGUAUCGCCUUGAGCGUAUUGCGGGUUUUCUGUGCUGAAUACCUAACCAAUGGUAUCGGUUGGAUUGAUCAACGUUUGAUUUCGUCUUGCGUUGCAUUCGCGACGUGAGGUGAACCUCAAAGCGGUCUCUUUGAUCCACCUUCUUGAGGCGCAUGCUUCGACAUUGUGGCGCAUUGAGCAUUGCUUGGUUUCUUGCAUACGGAACAUAUAGUGGGCAUGGAUCCUAGCGAUUCUUGUUUGCCCUCAUACUAGCGUAUCGCUUCUCUAACACGACUUGUGCCACGUUUUAGCUCGUACGGACGUGGUGCUA
This 470-nucleotide unclassified non-coding RNA is filed under the name Trichanthemis karataviensis. RNAcentral's name for it is "partial miscellaneous RNA". Lineage: Eukaryota; Viridiplantae; Streptophyta; Magnoliopsida; Asterales; Asteraceae. The record is from RNAcentral.